GAGAGUCGCAGAUACCAGGUGGCUGCAACUGUUUAUUAAAAACACAGCACUGUGCAAAAUCGUAAGAUGACGUAUACGGUGUGACGCCUGCCCGGUGCCGGAAGGUUAAUUGAUGGGGUUAGACUUCGGUCGAAGCUCUUGAUCGAAGCCCCGGUAAACGGCGGCCGUAACUAUAACGGUCCUAAGGUAGCGAAAUUCCUUGUCGGGUAAGUUCCGACCUGCACGAAUGGCGUAAUGAUGGCCACGCUGUCUCCACCCGAGACUCAGUGAAAUUGAAAUCGCUGUGAAGAUGCAGUGUACCCGCGGCUAGACGGAAAGACCCCGUGAACCUUUACUACAGCUUGGCACUGAACAUUGACCCUACAUGUGUAGGAUAGGUGGGAGGCUUUGAAGCACGUACGCCAGUAUGUGUGGAGCCGUCCUUGAAAUACCACCCUUGUAGUGUUGAUGUUCUAACGUCGACCCCUUAUCGGGGUUGCGGACAGUGCCUGGUGGGUAGUUUGACUGGGGCGGUCUCCUCCCAAAGAGUAACGGAGGAGCACGAAGGUGGGCUAAUCACGGUUGGACAUCGUGAGGUUAGUGCAAUGGCAUAAGCCCGCUUGACUGCGAGAAUGACAAUUCGAGCAGGUGCGAAAGCAGGUCAUAGUGAUCCGGUGGUUCUGAAUGGAAGGGCCAUCGCUCAACGGAUAAAAGGUACUCCGGGGAUAACAGGCUGAUACCGCCCAAGAGUUCAUAUCGACGGCGGUGUUUGGCACCUCGAUGUCGGCUCAUCACAUCCUGGGGCUGAAGUCGGUCCCAAGGGUAUGGCUGUUCGCCAUUUAAAGUGGUACGCGAGCUGGGUUUAGAACGUCGUGAGACAGUUCGGUCCCUAUCUGCCGUGGGCGUUGGAAGAUUGAAGGGGGCUGCUCCUAGUACGAGAGGACCGGAGUGGACGAACCUCUGGUGUUCGGGUUGUGUCGCCAGACGCAUUGCCCGGUAGCUAAGUUCGGAAUCGAUAACCGCUGAAAGCAUCUAAGCGGGAAGCGAGCCCUGAGAUGAGUCUUCCCUGAUACUUUAAGUAUCCUAAAGGGUUGUCGGAGACUACGACGUUGAUAGGUCAGGUGUGUAAGUGCUGUGAGGCAUUGAGCUAACUGAUACUAAUUGCCCGUGAGGCUUAACCAUACAACACCCAAGGGGUUU
This 1179-nucleotide ribosomal RNA is filed under the name Vibrio parahaemolyticus. RNAcentral describes it as "bacterial LSU rRNA". It matches the Rfam family "Bacterial large subunit ribosomal RNA", at positions 1772 to 2925 of the family's 2925-position model. The record is from RNAcentral. Lineage: Bacteria; Pseudomonadati; Pseudomonadota; Gammaproteobacteria; Vibrionales; Vibrionaceae.